RNAcentral lists this microRNA precursor (57 nucleotides) under Monopterus albus (swamp eel). RNAcentral's name for it is "Mal-Mir-204-P1a_pre stem-loop". It matches the Rfam family "mir-204 microRNA precursor family", at positions 16 to 74 of the family's 89-position model. The record is from RNAcentral. Lineage: Eukaryota; Metazoa; Chordata; Actinopteri; Synbranchiformes; Synbranchidae.
UUCCCUUUGUCAUCCUAUGCCUGGAGCUCAAAUGAGGCAAGGACAGCAAAGGGGUGC